UACGUAGGUGGCAAGCGUUGUCCGGAUUUACUGGGCGUAAAGAGCGCGCAGGCGGUCGUUCAAGUCGCGUGUGAAAGCCCCCGGCUCAACUGGGGAGGGUCACGCGAUACUGAUCGACUCGAAGGCAGGAGAGGGAAGUGGAAUUCCCGGUGUAGUGGUGAAAUGCGUAGAUAUCGGGAGGAACACCAGUGGCGAAGGCGACUUCCUGGCCUGUUCUUGACGCUGAGGCGCGAAAGCGUGGGGAGCGCACAGG
RNAcentral lists this ribosomal RNA (253 nucleotides) under uncultured bacterium. RNAcentral's name for it is "partial 16S ribosomal RNA". It matches the Rfam family "Bacterial small subunit ribosomal RNA", at positions 524 to 776 of the family's 1533-position model. The record is from RNAcentral.